AUGGACUAGAUAAAUUUAUGUACU
This 24-nucleotide non-coding RNA is filed under the name Cricetulus griseus (Chinese hamster). Lineage: Eukaryota; Metazoa; Chordata; Mammalia; Rodentia; Cricetidae. The record is from RNAcentral.